Molecule: ribosomal RNA, 253 nt
Filed under: uncultured bacterium
Lineage: Bacteria
Description: partial 16S ribosomal RNA
Rfam family: Bacterial small subunit ribosomal RNA
Source: RNAcentral
UACGGAGGGUGCAAGCGUUAUCCGGAAUUACUGGGUUUAAAGGGUGCGUAGGCGGCUUGAUAAGUCAGAGGCGAAAGCCUAUCGCUUAACGAUAGAAUUGCCUUUGAUACUGUAAAGCUUGAAAGGGGUUGAGGUCAGCAGAAGGUGGCAUGUAGCGGUGAAAUGCAUAGAUAUGCCAUAGAACACCGAUUGCGAAGGCAGCUGGCUGGGCCUACUUUGACGCUGAGGCACGAAAGCGUGGGGAGCGAACAGG